CAGGUUCCCGUGGGUCCCAGGCUGCCUCCGACCCCGAGUGGAGUGGACUAUUGGAAUCUGUUCCCCUUCGUCGUCCUGGCCCCUUUCCAUUCUCUGACCUCUGGGGCUGAAGAAUCACCUAUGGUUAACAAGACACCAGAACGACUAACGUGAAACUCUGCUUUGCUGGGACACUUGGCGCUGGCCAGCUGGAGCUGAGAAAUUCGACGUGAUUGAGAAGAGACCAGCAUCACUGAGGUGAGAUCUUCUCGGGAAAGUUUCCUGAGGGCACAGAGGAAGUGUUCCAGAGGUGGCCAUGGUCGUACCCUGUGCAGGCAGUGUGACUUGGUAAUGUGUAAGAGUCACCCAGGUGGUGCUUGUUUUGAAGCCAUGAAGGGGUCCAUGGAGAGCAGCUGAGGCCCCAACAUUUUGGAGAUGCCAGUACAAUGGGAUGACCACCACCACCAGUAGCACAGUGGAGUGGAGCCCACUGGAGCCCAGAAGACAAGCUGUGUGCGCUGUGGAGAAAUGACCCAAACCCUUGGAGUUCAGAAGAUUUGACAGGGGGUCACUUGGACUGGCUGGCUUUGUAUGUCAACUUGACACAAGCUAAAGUCAUCAUAGAGGAAGAAGCUUCAGUUGAGGAAAUGCCACCUUGAGAUCCAGCUACUGGCUGCCCCAUUGAGGUUUCUCACCCACCAUUUGGCCUCCUGCCUGGGACUCGUGGCCAGCUGCAGCAACUUGGGAAACUGCACCGUCUCUGCCUGGGACUGGCUGCUUUCGGGACCAGCUGUUCGCUGCCUGCCUCCUCUGGGGAUCUGCAGCAUUUUUGUUUAAUCUAUUACAUCCUGUCCUGACUCCCCCCAAUGAUGAAAAAUGAUCUGAAAGUGUAAGCUAAAUAAACCCUUUCUC
Molecule: non-coding RNA, 891 nt
Organism: Myodes glareolus (Bank vole)
Lineage: Eukaryota; Metazoa; Chordata; Mammalia; Rodentia; Cricetidae
Source: RefSeq, a predicted model, not a curated record